Molecule: ribosomal RNA, 433 nt
Filed under: uncultured bacterium
Lineage: Bacteria
Description: partial 16S ribosomal RNA
Rfam family: Bacterial small subunit ribosomal RNA
Source: RNAcentral
AGCGAACGCUGGCGGCAGGCCUAACACAUGCAAGUCGAACGAACUCUUCGGAGUUAGUGGCGGACGGGUGAGUAACACGUGGGAACGUGCCUUUAGGUUCGGAAUAACUCAGGGAAACUUGUGCUAAUACCGAAUGUGCCCUUCGGGGGAAAGAUUUAUCGCCUUUAGAGAGGCCCGCGUCUGAUUAGCUAGUUGGUGAGGUAAAGGCUCACCAAGGCGACGAUCAGUAGCUGGUCUGAGAGGAUGAUCAGCCACAUUGGGACUGAGACACGGCCCAAACUCCUACGGGAGGCAGCAGUGGGGAAUCUUGCGCAAUGGGCGAAAGCCUGACGCAGCCAUGCCGCGUGAAUGAUGAAGGUCUUAGGAUUGUAAAAUUCUUUCACCGGGGACGAUAAUGACGGUACCCGGAGAAGAAGCCCCGGCUAACUUCGUG